This 414-nucleotide ribosomal RNA is filed under the name uncultured microorganism. RNAcentral describes it as "bacterial SSU rRNA". It matches the Rfam family "Archaeal small subunit ribosomal RNA", at positions 459 to 872 of the family's 1478-position model. The record is from RNAcentral.
CAGCCGCCGCGGUAAUACCGGCGGCCCGAGUGGCGGCCACUAUUAUUGGGCUUAAAGCGUCCGUAGCCGGGUUGGUUAGUCUCCCGGGAAAUCUGGCCGCUUAACGGUCAGAAUUCCGGGAGAUACUGCCAGCCUAGGGACCGGGAGAGGCCGAGGGUAUUCCCGGAGUAGGGGUGAAAUCCUAUAAUCCCGGGAGGACCACCUGUGGCGAAGGCGCUCGGCUGGAACGGGUCCGACGGGGAGGGACGAAGGCCAGGGGAGCAAACCGGAUUAGAUACCCGGGUAGUCCUGGCUGUAAACGAUGCGGACUUUGUGUCGGACAAGCCAUGAGCUUGUCCGGUGCCGGAGGGAAACCGUUAAGUCCGCCGCCUGGGGAGUACGGCCGCAAGGCUGAAACUUAAAGGAAUUGGCGGG